AGCGAACGCUGGCGGCAGGCCUAACACAUGCAAGUCGAACGAACCUUUCGGGGUUAGUGGCGGACGGGUGAGUAACACGUGGGAACGUGCCCUUAGGUUCGGAAUAACUCAGGGAAACUUGUGCUAAUACCGAAUGUGCCCUUCGGGGGAAAGAUUUAUCGCCUUUAGAGCGGCCCGCGUCUGAUUAGCUAGUUGGUUGAGGUAAUGGCUCACCAAGGCGACGAUCAGUAGCUGGUCUGAGAGGAUGAUCAGCCACAUUGGGACUGAGACACGGCCCAAACUCCGACGGGAGGCAGCAGUGGGGAAUCUUACGCAAUGGGCGAAAGCCUGACGCAGCCAUGCCGCGUGAAUGAUGAAGGUCUUAGGAUUGUAAAAUUCUUUCACCGGGGACGAUAAUGACGGUACCCGGAGAAGAAGCCCCGGCUAACUUCGUG
This 434-nucleotide ribosomal RNA is filed under the name uncultured bacterium. RNAcentral's name for it is "partial 16S ribosomal RNA". It matches the Rfam family "Bacterial small subunit ribosomal RNA", at positions 29 to 507 of the family's 1533-position model. The record is from RNAcentral.